Onychomys torridus (southern grasshopper mouse) is the source of this 103-nucleotide small nuclear RNA. The record is from RefSeq and is a predicted model, not a curated record. Lineage: Eukaryota; Metazoa; Chordata; Mammalia; Rodentia; Cricetidae.
GUAUUCACUUUGGCAGCACAUAUACUAAAACUGGAGCCAUCAGAGAUUAGCGUGGCCCCUGUACAAGGUUGGCAAUCAAAUUUAUAAAGCAUUCGAUAUUAAA